Molecule: ribosomal RNA, 535 nt
Filed under: bacterium A4T_VP5_D11
Lineage: Bacteria
Description: bacterial SSU rRNA
Rfam family: Bacterial small subunit ribosomal RNA
Source: RNAcentral
CUAUACGGGAGGCAGCAGUGGGGAAUAUUGCACAAUGGGCGCAAGCCUGAUGCAGCCAUGCCGCGUGUGUGAAGAAGGCCUUAGGGUUGUAAAGCACUUUCAGUAAGGAGGAAAGGUUAGUAGUUAAUACCUGCUAGCUGUGACGUUACUUACAGAAGAAGCACCGGCUAACUCCGUGCCAGCAGCCGCGGUAAUACGGAGGGUGCGAGCGUUAAUCGGAAUUACUGGGCGUAAAGCGUACGCAGGCGGUUUGUUAAGCGAGAUGUGAAAGCCCCGGGCUCAACCUGGGAACUGCAUUUCGAACUGGCAAACUAGAGUAUGAUAGAGGGUGGUAGAAUUUCAGGUGUAGCGGUGAAAUGCGUAGAGAUCUGAAGGAAUACCGAUGGCGAAGGCAGCCACCUGGGUCAAUACUGACGCUCAUGUACGAAAGCGUGGGGAGCAAACGGGAUUAGAUACCCCGGUAGUCCACCCCGUAAACGAUGUCUACUAGGAGCUGGGGUCUUCGGACAACUUUUCCAAAGCUACGCAUUAAGUA